Molecule: long non-coding RNA, 1926 nt
Organism: Leopardus geoffroyi (Geoffroy's cat)
Lineage: Eukaryota; Metazoa; Chordata; Mammalia; Carnivora; Felidae
Exons: 3
Source: RefSeq, a predicted model, not a curated record
GCUUGUGCUCAGCUGCACGGUCCUGGCCCUCAAGUGCGCCGAGGGCGGUGAGAGAGCUCAACUCCUGCCACCCAUCACUCCCCGGGUGAGGGAUGACCCAGGCUGGGGGUGGCCGGGUGGGAGCUCGUCGCUGCGUGGUCCGUGCGCGGUCCUGGAAUCUAUUCUCCUGGAGGCUCGCGUUCGCACCUCCUUCUUCGCUAUCCCCCUCCCACAGGCUUGCUCUGGAAACCACCUCUGCCUCCGACUCUGGCCGGACCCCCUUCGGGGCCAGGGUUCGCAGCCGUGGAUGUGCCUGCCUCGUGGCUUGCCCGAUUUGCACGGUGACUUGAUUACACGCUCGCAUUCAUGGUCACUUCCGAAGCGCUUUAGUGCCUUCCGUCCCUAAACCGCCAACAACCAGGGCGGCUUCCCCCGCGGUUUGUCAGGCAUCUGCAGGUCCCGGAAGGGCCUUCGUCUUACCCGGGAUCCACCUCCACUUCAUUCUCCCCGCCGGCCUCCUCACUCCACCCCCUGCCCUUGAAGAACCCCCCACCCCCUCCUCCCCGCUGCCUGCCGGGGUUCGGAGUCGCCCGGCAGAGCCGGGGGCUGUGGGGGCUGCGCCACGGUGCACGGGUCCGCCCGCCUGCCUGGUCUCAUGGAGCUGAGGACCCGGGAAGCCGUGCGGUUGAGGCGAGCCUUGGGCUGCUUUAGGGGCGCUGACAGCCGAGGAGCGUUUUCCUGGCGUGAGAGCCAGUGACGUGCGGGGAGAAACUCAGAAGGCUCGGCGCCUUUUCUGCUACUCGUCCCACAGAAGAAACACAAUGCCAGAGGAAAGAGCGCUGCUUCCCAAACUCGCGGGACCGGGGGUGACAAGAACGCCUCGGAAAGGCUAGAUUUGAGCCCAAGGUAGAGACAGGGGCCAUAGCUGCUAGUAGGAGUCUUAGCUUUCUUGGGAAAAAGAAAGAAAAAAAUUUUCACCAAAAAAAUUAUGGUGAAAAAUGCUUGCCAUCCUGCAGGAUUGAAUUAUCAACGUUUGGGAGAAGUGAAAGAGGGCAUAGGGCUGCCAGGCAGGACCGCAGCUGGGAGGGGCCCAGCCCUGGGGCGUCCCCACACCUAUCUUCUUGGAAGGAGCUGGAUGUCGCUGAAGCAAAGUUGAAAAAUGAAAAAGGAUAACCUUUUCCCUUUCCCCAUCCAGGAAAUAGCUGAAGGAGGCCCUACACCCGAACUGAGCCCACCCUGCUCAGGGGAAGACCUGACGGGUGCUAAGGCCACCUGGAAUGCCAAGUCCGAGUUGUAUUUCUUAAAGAGAUGGAGUGGAUGAGGCUGUGACAUUGGCCCCUGCCGACUGGUUUCCCACGAGCUGUUCUCUCUCAGGAGCUCCGCAAAGCGGAGCCAUCUCCAGAAAGCAAUCUUCAGCAUGUAUUUCCUUUUAUCCUCAACCCAGAGCCCCACGGCAGCUAAUGCAAAAGGCCAAAAAUGUUUUGGAGGAAGAAAAACAAAGGCAGGAAGUGGCGGCGGCCUGACGGUGCGUGUGUGUCUGCGGAGAAGGGAGGGAGCCGUUUCAAUCUCUUCUUGUUGUUUUUCCAAACUUCAAGGUCUAGGCAGCCCUCGCAGGGCCGGGCCCUUUCGUUCCCCAAGCCGCGUUUGGAGAUGGCCACCCGGAGAGGAGAAGGCUGGCGCCCCCGCGUCAGCGUGGUCAGGCGGAAACGGCUAACGAGGCGAUUUGCUCAGCAAAGCAGACCGAGCCUUUGCAAGGCUCCGUGUGAUUUGGCCUUAAAUGGGGGGCUGGGGGGUGGGGGUGGGGGUUGAGGGGUUCGGCAGCACCUCCCGGAUCCUCCUGCUGGGGCUGAAUGCAUCUUGGUGCAGAUGAUCCUUGCGUCCUACACUCCACCCACCUCCCCAGGCAGGAUACUGGAAUAAAUUGUGUCCAGGUGUCUCUGCCCAGCA